UACAGAGGGUGCAAGCGUUAUCCGGAUUCACUGGGUUUAAAGGGUGCGUAGGUGGGCAGGUAAGUCCGUGGUGAAAUCCCCGAGCUUAACUCGGGAACUGCCGUGGAUACUAUUUGUCUUGAAUAUUGUGGAGGUAAGCGGAAUAUGUCAUGUAGCGGUGAAAUGCUUAGAUAUGACAUAGAACACCAAUUGCGAAGGCAGCUUACUACACAGUUAUUGACGCUGAGGCACGAAAGCGUGGGGAUCAAACAGG
RNAcentral lists this ribosomal RNA (253 nucleotides) under uncultured bacterium. RNAcentral's name for it is "partial 16S ribosomal RNA". It matches the Rfam family "Bacterial small subunit ribosomal RNA", at positions 524 to 776 of the family's 1533-position model. The record is from RNAcentral.